This is a long non-coding RNA of Limulus polyphemus (Atlantic horseshoe crab), 1558 nucleotides long. RefSeq lists it as uncharacterized. Lineage: Eukaryota; Metazoa; Arthropoda; Merostomata; Xiphosura; Limulidae. The transcript has 2 exons. The record is from RefSeq and is a predicted model, not a curated record.
CCACUGUCGUUAUGAAGGAGCUUGUUACCCUAGAAAAAGAACGUGGUUGCUCUGUCUAUUACCAGGGGUAAUCAGUGUGUGUGUAGGAGUAAUCAUUUUUACUAUUCUUCAAACCGACGACAACUACAAGUAUGUUCACAGCACGUGGCAUAUUUCUAUAGCGUUAUCAGUCUUGUUUCUUCUCCCUGAACGCCGAGAAACUAAAGAUCUACCACAAGAGGGCUCUCACUUGAGUUGGAAGCAUCACGGAUCGUUCAAGUUUCUGCAAUAUAGUGAAACAGACAUGUUAUAGAACAGACCACGAUAUACUAACCUAAGAUAAAAUUAAUUAUAAGUUAAAACGUUCAGAGUCCAGCAAGCCAACGGUUUUAAGACUUCACAUACUGUGAUAUCAAAGAGCAAUAGCUGUUUAAACCUUUUAGAUUUUUAGAACUUUUACGUGUUUUCUAAUCAUGAAGAAAUAAGGGCUAGUACUGAAUAUGGAUGUUUACUCAGAGUUCCGGAACAAAUUAACAACGGAAUUAUCUCGUUCUUUUCCUUGUGAUGGUAUUCCUCAUCUUUGAAAGUGGACAGACUUAGCUAUUCCAACAACCUAAUGUUACCCUGGAUCUUUAAAAUCACUUAAACAUCAUGGAUCAAUUCACGUUGUUUCUUUAAAAUGAUACUAACAGCCUUAAUUCAGUAACGUCGAAGUUUACCUAUUGAAUUAGUUACACGUUGCGAUGGUAUAUAUAUGUUACCGCUUACUGUAGCGCUGUAUACAAGUACAGAAACAUUAAUUUUCUACACUUGAAAGAGUGUUCUGUUUAAACUAACACCGGAGGAAUACCUAAUAUACUACUGGACCAAUCGCUCAGAAAAACUUCUUUUGAUAUAAAUUUCGUAAAUAUUUUAUAAGGAAUAUUUUUAUACAACACUUUUCAAUAAAUUUCUCAAAUAUUGUGGCGUACGCAACCAACACAUACCAAGAUGAAUCUUUCCUUAGCAACCGACAAAUACCGAGAUGAUAGUUUUUAUUGCCUAGCGAUCAACACAUACCGAGAUGAGAAUGUUUUUGCUGCCUAGCGAUCAACACAUACCGAGAUGAGAAUGUCUUUGUUGCCUAGCGAUGAACACAUACCGAGAUGAGAAUGUCUUUGUUGCCUAGCGAUGAACACAUACCGAGAUGAGAAUGUUUUUGCUGCCUAGCGAUGAACACAUACCGGGAUGAGAAUGUCUUUGCUGCCUAGCGAUGAAUACAUACCGAGAUGAGAAUGUCUUUGUUGCCUAGCGAUGAACACAUACCGAGAUGAGAAUGUUUUGUCUGCCUAGCGAUGAACACAUACCGAGAUGAGAAUGUCUUUUUUGCCUAGCGAUGAAUACAUACCGAGAUGAGAAUGUCCUUGUUGUUUUAGAAAUUCAUGUUUAAUGUGUAUCACGUUUAAUGAUACACUAUUUUUUUGUUAGAUACAUUGUUAAACGAUUACUUAGAAGUUAAAGAUACAAUAGAAUUAUUUUCAGAAUUAGACACAUUUUACAUAAUAAUAAAAUAAAUAAAUGGUGAUUAUGAAUUGCAAAA